Molecule: non-coding RNA, 7908 nt
Organism: Varroa destructor (honeybee mite)
Lineage: Eukaryota; Metazoa; Arthropoda; Arachnida; Mesostigmata; Varroidae
Source: RefSeq, a predicted model, not a curated record
CAGUCGGCCAGAGACGUCUAACAGCAAGAAGCGUGUGACGGUCGUCGUGUCACUGAUGGUAAAGUAUACGGUGCCUCAGCAGCAUCAUCAGCCGCCACAGACUGGACAGCCAGCUAGCGCCACUCUACGUAAGUGAAAACGAGGGAGAAACCAAAGAUAAGAAGGGAACGCCGAAGGGGAGCCGUAUCAUAAGGUGUCCAGUUAACUCUAUCUUCAGCCGGCCCUAAACUCUACGCGGAAGCUGCAAGAGAGAGUGACAAACGUACCAUACGGCGGCAUACGGCACUUACUCCCUAUCUUAAGAGCCUAUGUGUAUGUCUCAUUCCAUACGCUAAUGAUGGAUAAUAAUAAUUACUAUUAUUAUUAUUGGUAUAGUAAUAUUACUAGCGUCUGUUUUCAAUAAGCGUCAACUAGUUAUCGACGAUCGUCAACGAAAUUUCGACGAAGAGGAAAACGAAAAGGGCGAGGAGCAGGAGAUGACGCCAACAAAAGAGCUUUGAGUUGUAUCUGCGUGUAUGUGUAUUUGAGUGUGUACACCUGUGCCUGUUGUCAUUUUCGGUCUCGACCGGAAGUGAAUAGUUAUAAUCCCAAUUUCUAGACGGAAAUGCUUUAAUGUCGAGACGGAUACGGUACAACGAAACAAUAUCACUGCAGUGACUAACGACUAUGGCUAGGCCAGAGAAAUAUAUAUACAUUGUUCAAUACAAAUGCGGACAAAGAUGAGCGUCGAGUUUUUGCUCUGUCCCUUGGCCUCUUUGUCAAGUGUGUUUCUGCGUCAUUUUAUACAAUCGUUCUCAAUUAGCAAUGCAAAAAAGAUAAGCGUCAAAAGUGCGAUAGCUUAGCAUCGCAAAGAAAGAUAACAAAGUGUUAGUUGAGGUGUCGCGUGCCGAUAUUUCUCUCCUAGUGAUGAGUGUGCAGUCGUGUAAUAAUAGUACGUUCUCGUUCUGAAGAGAGGGAGAGAGAGGGUGAGCGACCGACCAAGCAAAAAAGAGAGAGACGAAGCGUUCAAUGCGGAAACAGUACAGGUCAAACCGUCGCCGUAGCUGACACAUUGGCUAGAAUUAGUGCAACUAAAUGUCUAAGUGUUCCCGUUCAUCUUCAGGAUGCUGACGUCGCCGUUUGACAGACUCUUCAUCGCGUGACUCGGAUGCAGACCCACCAGUUCUAGUUGCCUGUUGUGUUGCUAGCGAGUUCACUCGGGGUAUGUUUGAUAUACUGAGCAAUAACGCUUGUUGAAAAGGAAGCAUUGUUUUACGUCUACCCGACGAGACGGGCGGUGACGAGGACUACGGCACCGCCUGUUGUUGAUUACUGGAGUGACUGCCGUUGUUUUGUGGUUUCGAAUAUCUCUUUGCUUUCAGUUGUAUCAUUGUAGUAUAUAAUCGUGGUCAUUUCCCUUAUCACUACAAAGCCGGUAGUCUAAUGUGCACUACGCGCCACUACCGAGCACGCUGACGUCGAGUAGGAUUGAUUGCGGGUGUCAGCGUUAACUACACUGAUUGACUGUGCCGUUCCAUCGAAUCUGAUCGAUCCGAUCCCCGGUUUUCACCCCUCUCCUCUUCCUUCCUCCUUAUCUCUUGCUAGAGGUUCUUCAGUUAUGUGCAUCCGCAGCGUGAGAGGAGCGACACAACAGACAGAGUCAAAAUCAUAAUGAAAUAAUAGAGUCUGCGGAGUCUUACUAAUUGACAUCGAGUUUUUCAUUAGUUUAAAGUCUUUCGGCCAUCCCGUUCGUUCGACCUUUUCUACGAAUUGGCGGGACAAUCGACCGUAGCAAACCAACGCUCUGACACAGGCGAGGUCGACUGAUCGGUAGAGCUGCAAGCCGUCCGCAGGUGGCUAUUCGACUCGAUCAACACAAGCUACUGUUAUUACUCGUACAACUGGUAUUAACAGUAACAAGCAUACGAACGAAGCCGACGAGAGUUCGGUCGUCGGCGAGCAGCGCACCUCUAAUCAGUCAACAUGCUGGUUAUGGCCAGCUUGAACAACCUAAACGGUAUCAGUAGUGGUGGUCUGCCCAGCCAGACGUCGCUUUAUCAAACAGCCGGUAUUCCUCCGGCAGCCUCGGAACCUCCGCAGGUAUUUCAACCGCAGGAAACCUCAGAGCAGCAAUUAAAGGGGUCAGUCUCUGGAGAUGAGCGUUCGCCUCCACUCGCAAUAUCAUGUGCGGCCGGUGCUGGGCACAAGACAGCCGCCGCCGGCGGCCCGAUCGGGGCACCCCCACCUACCGAGCACCAUCAGCAGCCCCAACAGCCCGAUGUAGGCCCGCCAAUGAUUCCCAGCGACGAAGAGCUGGCCGCUAGUCAACAACUGUCCGAGGCAGCGGCCACACUCGAGGCUUUGAAUGGACCUAAACGUUUACACGUGUCCAAUAUCCCAUUCCGUUUUCGUGAACCAGAUUUAAGGCAACUCUUUGGCGAGUUCGGCGUUAUUCUUGACGUGGAAAUCAUCUUUAAUGAAAGGGGAUCCAAGGGUUUCGGCUUUGUAACGUUUGCUCUGGGGUCUGAUGCAGACCGUGCUCGGAACGCACUGAAUGGUGCCGUUGUUGAGGGACGAACUAUCGAGGUUAACAACGCCACCGCACGAGUGCAUACGAAACGAGCGGCAUCGCUUGCGGCAUCAACUGCCGCGGCGGUUGCUGCAGCCGCUGCGGCUGCCCAAAACGGCGCUCAGAACGGCUUAGCUAGCGGUGCGCUGUCGGGGCCGGGGAGUGGAAGCUGCCUUCCACCGCCUCCGCCGCCAGGUGGCGAUACUGCCGGCGGUCGACGGUUGUCUCCCGUUGGUCCCCUCGGCCCUGGGGGUACGGUUCAGGGGGCUCCAUCCUCCCUGGCCUUAGCGACGGCUGCUGCCUCCCGACUCGCCGCGUCACCGCUCGCUGCCCUGACAGCCGGGAUCUACCAGGACCCCCUGCUAGCCACAUACGCGGCCAAUGCAGCACUGGCGGCACAAGGCGCUUUGCCGGCAAGUUAUGCGGCGUCAGCGGCGUAUGGGGUAUCAGCUGCCCGUCAGUAUGCAGCAGCUGCUCAGUUAGCGUGCGCUGGCCAAGCUCAAGCAGGGGCAGGGCCGACGGCGGCGGCGGCGCCCCCGCCACCUCCCGCUGGCUCGACACAGCUCGCCGCUGCGGCGGCGGCGGCAGCGGCGGCCGCAGCAGCUGCGGGUUAUCCUCAGGCUGCAGCGGCGGCCUCGAUGGCCGGCAAUCCCGCCGCAGCUAUGUACUACGCCGCUGUAGCUGCCCAAGCUGCUGCACCGACAGUUUAUAGCGGGUUAGACCCAUACCAGCAUCUCACGUCAGCGGCAGCGGCAGCUGCGGCUCAAAAUGGGCUUUCAGCAUUAUCUGCCGCGCAGGGAUACACGCCACUCAUUAGAGGUGGCGGGCCCGGAUCGGUAUCUGGAGCGCCGGCUCCUUCACAGUCCGCUGGUUCUGUGUCCACAUCAACGGGCCCGGAUGGCCUAUCACAGCAGCAGGCAGAAAUUUUGCGACGGAUUCACCAAUCGCGCACCCUUCAGCAACAAAACGCGCUUUACAAGAACUCAGUUCGUUUUAUGCCAUAUUGACUGAUGUGAGCACUACAUCACAAUAGAAUAUAGAUUUAGCUCUAGUUUAGGUAGGUCAUAUAAUUUGAUUGAGCCAAACCUCGAAAGGGCAUAAUGAAGUUAUAGGAAAGUAUCAUUCUUAAAGUAUUGUGCUGUCUCCCCACGCUGACCAGCUUAGUCUAAGGAGCGAAGAAAGAAGAUAUGAAUGAGAACGAAGUCUCAUGCUAGUCGAAAAGUGAACGCACCUAGUCCGAAGAUGGCAAUCGUAACCUGGAUGCCCGUCGUGCUAAUUUUCAAUCAGUGUCGUAGAGAAACAUCUACUGAGCGAAUUUCGUCUUUCUCCAACAUCAAUGCCAUGUCGGUGCGCAAAAGGAGAAGGAGGCAGGCAGUACCUCUCACUUGGCGAACUGUCUAGCUGAAAGAAGGACACGACCAUUUAGGAGCUACAUAGCUACAGCCUAACUGCGCGUGCCACGCACGUCGUCGACCUGAAGAGGGUUUUCGUGCGCUCGUUUGAUGGACGUUCUAGCGCUAGUGAUGGCUACUUCCUAGUGAAGCGUGCGGCGAGCAUGUGUGACAUCCUAUUUAUAUCCUGAUUAUUACUGAUGUGGUUCAGAAGAGAUGAGCUCGACAACACGACUAUAUCGAUUCAAGCAAAACUGUUUCCGAAUCUCGCCAUGUCAACAAGAUGGCGACAUGUAGAGCAUCAGCAAGACGCUAACUAUAACCGAAUGCUUAUUCUUAAUGUAUGAUUAGUGACCUGAGGAUACAGGCGACUAGUAGCCAUAGUGGGCUAAUGCAGGUGCAAUAAUGGACUAGUAAUGGGAAGAAACACAACAAACGAUAGCCCAUAUUGAGUCCGUUCGGAAGAAACGCUGAAAACCUCGAGCUUUUUCACGUGGACUAGAGAGAGGUGUCACAGUAAUUUUGAGCUAAAUAAGUUCACAACUGACAGCCAAACAAAGCUGAGCUCAUAAGACGUUUUUAACGAUUCAUUGAAGUUCUUCGACAACGGUGUCGGGUUGUUCGGUAGUAUUAUUUUGAGCAGUUCUUUGAUUUGUGACCUAACUUGGUGCACGUUAUUAGGCUAGGGGAGACGCUUGUCCCUUACACUAGUUUAUUGCGUUGUCGUCUGCUAGUUCGAGUUACCUGUUGGGUGAUAGAAAGAGCCAAUGUGUAGUUAAGCGGUAGCUUUUUGAACGUGUCUCUUCAACACUUUUCGCAAUUAUUUCGUGACAAAAGCUUUGUUGGUGUCAGGGCUGGUCGUAGAAUGUUUUGCUAUCAUGAUUGAAUGUUUACAAGAUUGUAGCGUUUAUAUCGAUAGAUGAGGCAAGCUAUGGGUGGUAGGACGUGGCAGCGGCUAUAGCGAGUAUUUACGAUUUCGGUUUCCUCGCUACUUUGCAUAUUAAACAAUCUAUUCAUAUCGCUAUCGACGCAUAAUCUUUGGUAACAUAUAGAUUGUUCUAUUUAGCGCCUAGUAACAAACGCAACGACCCAAUGGUCCUCGGACGACACUCGGUCUAACAACACUGCUUCACUACAUCGACAGUGAAACACCGUUCACUAACGCCUGUAAUAUUAAUACACCUAUACUUGAAGCGCUAAGCAUCUCUCCCCGAAGCAGCAAGAGCACGCGACUGGGCUUUCUGAUCAUAUCCUUUAGAAGCCAACAAUGUUAUUAAAAAACAAAAAAAAGAAACGUUUUUUUGACCCAAUUACUAAUUCCAACGAACGAAGCAAUGUGCAACAAACUCUACAUAUACACACACACACACACACACACACACACACACGCAUACGGGAAAUGCAGGCACAGAGAGUUCACGUGACAAACGAGAGGAAGCACGGCAGAACAGGCGGGCAAUCCUAGCUUUAUAAAUAUAUACGGAUGAUAAAAAUUUAUAUUGCUCUGAUGCACAUGUUAUGCUUGGGCUGAAAGUAUUACCGACAGAUAUCGUAAUCUAGGGAAAUGUUUCAGCCAUUCUCGGCACAUAGCAACGAAGCACACAGAGAUCUAUCAAAGAAAAUAGAAUUAGUUGAACGCAGUCUAUGGAUAGGUAAACCGCGUCUGAUCUGUUCGGGACGUGAGAAAUUUCUCAGCUAAUCUGAGUAAGUCGUAUAAGUUUAGCAGUAACGCUACUGGCUAAUUUUGUAUUCGGCCGUCUGACAUUAUCAUUAACGAAAAGAAAAAAAAAGUUCAAAGAUGAGUGGAAUUUAGUGACAAUGCUGAUUAUUUGUAUACUCGAUGCAUAUAUAAGUGCCAGAAUUCAAUAGGUCCGAGUCGUUGUCGACUGCGCGAAACAGUCACAACGUAAAACGUCAUUAUGGGAACUUUGUCAUUAUGUACAUUGCUCGUAUUCAUUCUUAUAUCACCUAUUUAACAUCGCAGGGAGAUCGUCACGGUUUAUUUCGCCUGGUAAAUCGGAACUAUUACCAUAUCAAAGUGUGUCAUGCCACAGAGAUGAAACUAAUAGAUAAUAAUACUCUACAAGAAGAACUUAGUUUCGCACGUUGUUUUUAAAUAUCCUUUUCUGUAUUUUACGUAUACUUACAGACCUAAUAAGGAAAAUCGUCUAUAGAGUCAAUUUCACAGUUGCAGUGUGAACGAGCAGAUUUGAUCUCAGUGCCGUAUUGCGGCAGGCUGACGUGCAUCAAGGAAACCAUAACAGUAUAGUAUUCAUGUUGAUGACACUUCUUGCCAUUUCUGCCCCAUAAUUAUACGUAGGUUUCGUACGUAGGGUACGUACGUACGUUUCAUUCGGGACAAGCAACGCCCAGUGUGACGUCAGCGACGAAAAAAAUCGUCGGGCCCUAAAAUUUUUAGAAGACACCCGUUAAAACUAGUCAAUUUAAACGCCGUUCGUUUCUAUUCAGUAUAUAAUAUUGGUUUAUAGAGCGAGAGCAAGUAGCGGAACUGCGCGAAAUGCAGGCUGCUACUUAUAGUAGGAGAAUCAACGAUGCUACAAUUCUAUCUAGCGACCCUACGUUGUCCGCAUCCUUCGUGCGUCAUCGGCAACAAAGUAAAGCUGUCAUGAAGUUUCGUUUGACCACAUUCGUUCCCGAAUUGAAGGGCUGGCCUCGGCGUUGUCCAGGCGGUUGGUUAGCAGCUACAUGAAGCGAGCGGAAGCGGUCCGGUAUCUGCGUAUUCGUUUCCUUUAAAUCUCUGCCAAAGUAAAAACGAGCUGCUCUGCAAGCUUUUAUCAGCUUUCUGAUGACCUUUAGUUCUCAGAUAAGACCUGAACAAACACAAGUACUCUGGGGACGUGAAUCUCCAUAUCGUAAUCACUAGUAAAUCUGCUCCUACUAAAGACGCCCUUAUUCAGUGAAACAUACAGAUCAUUAGAGUUGUAUUGAUUUUAUUUAUGAACAUAUUUUAAAUCAUAGAUACAAUUAUAUACAGCACCACGAGACGUCCAGUCUAAGAUAUCACGCCUGUUUUAGUUAAACAGAAGUAUAUCACGCAAAUGGCUAGCUUUUCCCAGCGCGAAACCAGGUGUGUCUACGUCCGGCCUUCGUAGGCAACCAUGAUCCUGCCGUUGCACCAUGACGGGGGCGCUAUUUCGAGCCUAGGUAAGCUCGGUUCCCUGGUCGGCCCGAUCAAAUCGCUCUUGUCAGCCUGCACGAGUAUCUAGAAUAUAGCACCUGGAGGUUCGGGACAAAUCGGGACCAAAUUAACAUCUUUCGUUUACAAGUGACACCUAAAUGAAAACAGAUGUUUGGAUGGUUAUUUUCCGAAUCGUUCGACAGGGACGCUCUUCGCGGACGAGCUUAUUUACCGUAACUGCCGUUGCCUUGACCACUGCUCAAAUACGGCACCCAAUCGCCCACAUAUCCUAUUCAAAAGCCUUUUCUCUAAAACAAUGAGUAAUUAAUUGUUAAUAGCAGCGCUGAGUGAAACGACGUUGCUUCAUCUAGGCCCGUUGAAGUAUCACUCUUCAAGUCUUUUUUUUCUCAUUUAAAAUUUGCGCCAUUGUUCUCCGCACGACGCAUAUAAUUAGUCGAUUUUAAGCUAGUGUCAUCAUCUCAAGCUAUUGAAUAUUAUCUAACAUUCGCUCUAUGAGAAACAUGAACUUUUUGUCUCGCUUUUUUCCCUUCGUUUCAGAAAGGGCUGGUGUCCGGCGACUCUAAACAAUUACGGAGAAAUCCGUUCCAAUUUAUCCCGAACAUUCUGUAGGCUAUUGGCAAGCAUUAUAAUUUUAUAUUGCCUAGACAAAUAAUGUAUUAUUCAAUUCGUUUAACCCUCGUGUGUUGCUGCGUUUUGUACAAUUUAUUAUUUAUCAAGUACUAACAAAAGAAAAAAAAAAGCAUACAAACACAUACGUGGGCUGCCGACGAAGGAAGGAUAAUUAUCGGCUGAAAAAAUGUAAAUAAAUA